RNAcentral lists this ribosomal RNA (1206 nucleotides) under Streptomyces panayensis. Its description in RNAcentral is "bacterial SSU rRNA". It matches the Rfam family "Bacterial small subunit ribosomal RNA", at positions 129 to 1339 of the family's 1533-position model. Lineage: Bacteria; Bacillati; Actinomycetota; Actinomycetes; Kitasatosporales; Streptomycetaceae. The record is from RNAcentral.
CCCUUCACUCUGGGACAAGCCCUGGAAACGGGGUCUAAUACCGGAUACCAUCUCGCGCAGGCAUCUGUGCGGGUUGAAAGCUCCGGCGGUGAAGGAUGAGCCCGCGGCCUAUCAGCUUGUUGGUGAGGUAACGGCUCACCAAGGNGANGACGGGUAGCCGGCCUGAGAGGGCGACCGGCCACACUGGGACUGAGACACGGCCCAGACUCCUACGGGAGGCAGCAGUGGGGAAUAUUGCACAAUGGGCGAAAGCCUGAUGCAGCGACGCCGCGUGAGGGAUGACGGCCUUCGGGUUGUAAACCUCUUUCAGCAGGGAAGAAGCGAAAGUGACGGUACCUGCAGAAGAAGCGCCGGCUAACUACGUGCCAGCAGCCGCGGUAAUACGUAGGGCGCAAGCGUUGUCCGGAAUUAUUGGGCGUAAAGAGCUCGUAGGCGGCUUGUCACGUCGGGUGUGAAAGCCCGGGGCUUAACCCCGGGUCUGCAUUCGAUACGGGCUAGCUAGAGUGUGGUAGGGGAGAUCGGAAUUCCUGGUGUAGCGGUGAAAUGCGCAGAUAUCAGGAGGAACACCGGUGGCGAAGGCGGAUCUCUGGGCCAUUACUGACGCUGAGGAGCGAAAGCGUGGGGAGCGAACAGGAUUAGAUACCCUGGUAGUCCACGCCGUAAACGGUGGGAACUAGGUGUUGGCGACAUUCCACGUCGUCGGUGCCGCAGCUAACGCAUUAAGUUCCCCGCCUGGGGAGUACGGCCGCAAGGCUAAAACUCAAAGGAAUUUGACGGGGGCCCGCACUAAGCAGCGGAGCAUGUGGCUUAAUUCGACGCAACGCGAAGAACCUUACCAAGGCUUGACAUACACCGGAAACCACCAGAGAUGGUGCCCCCCUUGUGGUCGGUGUACAGGUGGUGCAUGGCUGUCGUCAGCUCGUGUCGUGAGAUGUUGGGUUAAGUCCCGCAACGAGCGCAACCCUUGUCCUGUGUUGCCAGCAUGCCCUUCGGGGUGAUGGGGACUCACAGGAGACCGCCGGGGUCAACUCGGAGGAAGGUGGGGACGACGUCAAGUCAUCAUGCCCCUUAUGUCUUGGGCUGCACACGUGCUACAAUGGCAGGUACAAUGAGCUGCGAAACCGUGAGGUGGAGCGAAUCUCAAAAAGCCUGUCUCAGUUCGGAUUGGGGUCUGCAACUCGACCCCAUGAAGUCGGAGUUGCUAGU